CGGUCAGCUCAUUCAUUGCAGGAACCGCGUGGCUAUCUCAUGGGUCGGUGUUGUCCAUGGCGACGGCGGCGGCACCGGCGAUAAUGGCGGUCAACGGUGGUCAGGUACGCGGCGGCUCCACUGCUCCAUUCCCAUUCCCCACUGCCCCCCUGCCGCAAAAUCUUUGUGGCCGGUGUGUUCUGAUCUGCGGUGGCCUGCUUGCCUAUCUUCCAAGAUGUGAUACGCGCCUUGCCGCCGGAUCUCGAUGGAGGGGGCGAGGUGGGUAGCCAGACGGGACGAGGUGGCACCGGAGUCUUCUGUGGCGGCGCUCGUUCAGGGUUGUCAAGAUGGUGGAGCGAUGCGGUAGACGAACAGAAUGUGCCUGCGGAAUUGGGUGAAUCGACUGUGAUGCCGGAUCCAUGAGCGCCACGGCGGAUUAAGAGGUAUUGAAUCCUGCUUGUUGUGUGCUAUUAUUUCUGUGUGGAUUACUCGUGCGUGCUGCUACUAAAAAGAAAACUGAAGAAUGGAAACAGAUGUGUAGAGCGUCGUAUCCGUGAUGAAACAGAGGGGAAAGGAAAACUAAGUUAGCUCAUAGAAUGUUUGUGCACAGGGUGGUGGGCUUGUCCAGUUAAAAAAAAUAGGGCAAACGUUAGCUCCGCAUAAUCAAAGAGUACAUAAAUCUUACCAGUGCUAAAAAUAGUUGCAUGUUGUUCUUUCACAUGCUGAGCCGAAUAUGUAACUGGCAAAACUUAAGUCGCGGGUUUUCCUUUGCUUUUUAGUUUUGGUUGAGACCUUGAAUCUGACUGUUUGAUCAGGCGGUGAAUGGUUUGUAUUGGUUUCGUUUUCUAUAUGAAAAUGGAGCUGGGUACUCCCUUUGAUCAGAAAAAUAUUGCGCAAAAUGACCACAAUUGAGAAAAUUGUUCACUUUUCCUGCUCUGCCUCUGUUAUGAUUUUUGAGCUGAAUGCUUGUGACAUUCUUUUUGAUAGUCUCACAAUUGUCAUGUAUUUUAAAAUCCGGACUGUAGUUUUUGGGAUGCACAAUGGUGUUUUUUGUGCCGAAAAAAGGCGUGUUGUGUCUCAGGAAAUAGAAUGUUGGCUUUGUGCACACAAGCAGGGUCAGGAUGUGUACCAAUCCUACAGAGUGUGCACCAUGCACCAAUAGGAUGGGGGCUCUUGAGAAGUCAAUUAGAGGGUUUGCGGACAAGAGCGAUAAGGAAGUUGUGAAGCCAGGGUUAGGAACAAAUUUUGACUCGUUGACGGAGGUGUAUGACUUCUACAACCUAUAUUCCUGGGAACAUGGUUUUGAAAUCCGAUACGGGGAAAGCAGGCUGAACCCAGAGAAAAAGGAAGACCAUGCAGGAAAUUGUGUGUGCAGAUGCUCGGGGAAGCUAUUGUGAGAGAAUACAAGGUCUUGCCGGUGUGAGUGUCCUAGGCUGCUCCAGACCACAGACAACGGAUGGUACAUAACAGAGCAUCGAGUGAAGCAUAAUUGCGUAAUGGCAAGAAGUUGCGGAGAGAUGGCGCACUGGCCAUCUCACAACCAUAUUGAUGGCGCACUGGCGAGUAUUUGUCAUACUCAAUGCUUUCCUCAAAAUAAUCACUUAAGAACAGAGGAUAGCUUUCCUGUUUGAUGCUAUCCCUUCUAUAAUGACAGAUUAUAUUGAUAAUUGCAAUGGUAUGCAAUGUAACUGCAGGAAAUCUUCUCAGGCAAAUACUGUAAUAGCCACCAAUGGUUUGAUGACAUUGCUUAUUGCAAGACUUGACCAUCGAAAAGUUAUUGCUUGUUUGACUCUGCUGAAACUAAUAAAGGUUGUCUGUGAGCAUCACCCUUGACCAAAGAAGCUCAUAGUGGACAACUACCUUCCCUAGAAGCUACAAAACCUCAUCGAAGAAUGCAGGGAUGGGCAACGCGGCGGUUAACAAGUGCUGGUCAAACAAAUGGCCACCCUGAUGUUGAUGCGUAAAAUAUAAGGCUGGUCGUAAUGAUAGUAUCAUAGUUAGUAUCAUGCAUGCCAACUAGGCAAUUUCGAUGAGGUGUCAUAUCAUUAAAUGAAG
Long non-coding RNA from Triticum aestivum (bread wheat), 2034 nucleotides. RefSeq lists it as uncharacterized. The record is from RefSeq and is a predicted model, not a curated record. NCBI's taxonomy places the organism in Eukaryota, Viridiplantae, Streptophyta, Magnoliopsida, Poales, Poaceae. The transcript is spliced from 3 exons.